This 488-nucleotide ribosomal RNA is filed under the name uncultured soil bacterium. Its description in RNAcentral is "bacterial SSU rRNA". It matches the Rfam family "Bacterial small subunit ribosomal RNA", at positions 26 to 511 of the family's 1533-position model. The record is from RNAcentral.
AGAUUGAACGCUGGCGGCAUGCCUUACACAUGCAAGUCGAACGGCAGCACGGGAGCAAUCCUGGUGGCGAGUGGCGAACGGGUGAGUAAUACAUCGGAACGUGCCCAAUCGUGGGGGAUAACGCAGCGAAAGCUGUGCUAAUACCGCAUAAGAUCUACGGAUGAAAGCAGGGGAUCGUAAGACCUUGCGCGAAUGGAGCGGCCGAUGGCAGAUUAGGUAGUUGGUGAGGUAAAGGCUCACCAAGCCUUCGAUCUGUAGCUGGUCUGAGAGGACGACCAGCCACACUGGGACUGAGACACGGCCCAGACUCCUACGGGAGGCAGCAGUGGGGAAUUUUGGACAAUGGGCGAAAGCCUGAUCCAGCCAUGCCGCGUGCAGGAUGAAGGCCUUCGGUUGUAAACUGCUUUUGUACGGAACGAAAGUCUCUUUCUAAUAAAGAGGAUCAUGACGUACCGUAAGAAUAAGACGACCGACUAACUACGUGACCG